RNAcentral lists this ribosomal RNA (86 nucleotides) under Sclerotinia subarctica. RNAcentral's name for it is "partial 28S ribosomal RNA". The stretch from base 30 to 86 matches the Rfam family "Eukaryotic large subunit ribosomal RNA", at positions 1 to 57 of the family's 3401-position model. RNAcentral also lists the same sequence under 1 other name. Lineage: Eukaryota; Fungi; Ascomycota; Leotiomycetes; Helotiales; Sclerotiniaceae. The record is from RNAcentral.
CUUCUGCCAAAACCCAAACUUUCUAUGGUUGACCUCGGAUCAGGUAGGGAUACCCGCUGAACUUAAGCAUAUCAAUAAGCGGAGGA